Molecule: long non-coding RNA, 1082 nt
Organism: Cercocebus atys (sooty mangabey)
Lineage: Eukaryota; Metazoa; Chordata; Mammalia; Primates; Cercopithecidae
Exons: 3
Source: RefSeq, a predicted model, not a curated record
GCGCAGCUCCGGAUCCCGCUCCUCUUGGCGCGAGGUCUUCUAGGGCCCGGCCCGGGCGCGCUGUUCGGGUUUAGGCGGGCCUUCUUCCCUGUGCUGACCCGGGCCUGUGCCAAGCGGCAUCUCUCGGGCCUCCCUCUCUUUGUCACCCCUUCCCCCGCCACGUGAAGGUGUCUCAGCCGCCCGAGCUCAGCCUGCCUGCGCCUGGAUUUUUAAGACGGGGACACCAAGGACAGAAGCCGCCCCCUAGGAUGACGCGCCCGGGCCACGGGGAGAGUCUGAACGGCGGGGACCUCUUGGAGCGCCUUCAGCGCCUCGUGUUUUCUUUCCUUGGGUCCCUGUUACCGUCGCUGCAGGCACAGCGCUCCCUGUCAUUUGGUCCCUGAGCUUGGGUGUUUUUCACAUCUCAUCUAAAGAUGCAGACCCCUGCUAAGUCUAGCCAGCCUUCACCCUGAAUCUGGAACUUAAGAUGCUGCAUUUUCCACCCACCCCCGCCCCUCUAGUAGCUGCAAAUUGCCAAGCGGCUUUUCCCAACCAGAUGACAUUUUGGCUGCAAGAAUCCGUGGCCCGUUCUUGCCUCUGUGCAGCCAAGCUCCUUCGCUUUCUCUGACUGCAGUCCCGGGUCCAGCUUCGCUCAGCAGUGACCAUCCCAGAGGAACGCGAGAACAACCUAAUACAUCUCUCAUCAGGGUGACUGCAGUGACUUGUCUCCCUUCUUCCACUCUGAUACACAGCAGCCAAGAUUUCAGAUCCUCUGAAAAUCCACACAAUGACCUUAUGAAAUAGGUGUUAUUGACCCAACUCAAAAGACAUAAAAACAAGCUCAUAGUUUAAGAAACCAAGAAGUGACACAGCUGGAAGCCAAGCCUCAAACCUGGCCCUGGUCUCUCUUAUUAAAAAAAAAACAACUAUUUAUUCAAAGGGUCCUAAGAGACUUUUCUCUAAAGAAGAUACACAGAUGGCCAACAAGCAUAUGCCAAGAUGCUCAACAUCAUUAGUCAACAUCAUUUCCCAUAAGGGAAAUUCAAAUCAAACCACAGUGAGAUACUACUGCACACCCACCUGGAUGGCCAGAAUCAGAAAGG